This 305-nucleotide ribosomal RNA is filed under the name uncultured bacterium. Its description in RNAcentral is "partial 16S ribosomal RNA". It matches the Rfam family "Bacterial small subunit ribosomal RNA", at positions 508 to 807 of the family's 1533-position model. The record is from RNAcentral.
ACAGCAGUAGCCGCGGGAAUACAGAGGGUGCGAGCGUUAAUCGGAUUUACUGGGCGUAAAGCGUGCGUAGGCGGCUUUUUAAGUCGGAUGUGAAAUCCCUGAGCUUAACUUAGGAAUUGCAUUCGAUACUGGGAAGCUAGAGUAUGGGAGAGGAUGGUAGAAUUCCAGGUGUAGCGGUGAAAUGCGUAGAGAUCUGGAGGAAUACCGAUGGCGAAGGCAGCCAUCUGGCCUAAUACUGACGCUGAGGUACGAAAGCAUGGGGAGCAAACAGGAUUAGAUACCCCAGUAGUCCCUGUCUCUUAAAC